Molecule: long non-coding RNA, 546 nt
Organism: Triticum aestivum (bread wheat)
Lineage: Eukaryota; Viridiplantae; Streptophyta; Magnoliopsida; Poales; Poaceae
Exons: 3
Source: RefSeq, a predicted model, not a curated record
UACAGGUUUGCAACGAUCGAGCAGGACCUGUAAUUAGCGACUGCAUUACGUUACGUGAAAUAGAACAGGCCCAUACAGAAACCCACGGUUCCACGUUGAUCCUAAUUUACUUCUUUGGUUUGAGGUGUGACGGGAACUUACCGACCCAAACCUCCUACCCGUGGAACCAAUCCACGAGAGGCGACGCCGACGCGAUGGUGGCGGCCAAAAGGAGACGCUGCGCCGCCAGAGACGACGAACUCUGCCUCCACCUCUCUUUCCUCUCUCGGUCUCUCCUGGACUGGAUCUCGCCGCUGCCGCCUCUCCUCGCCCCAGCGGAGAUUAGAGACGACAGCACCGCGACGAAUCCUGCACUGUAGUCAAGAAUUCUCGAGACUGCACCCAACUAGCCAAGGUUGAAGGAGCGUUGUAUGAUCUUCUCGCUUAGUCGUUAGAGUAGCGUUGCAUACAAGGGUUGGUGAAAUCACAUUAAACUAACAGUACUCCAUGUGUGCGCGAUGGGUGAAGCUAGCAGGUUAAUUACUACUCCCAUGCAAUACUUUCAGA